Molecule: transfer RNA, 56 nt
Filed under: Apaloderma vittatum (bar-tailed trogon)
Lineage: Eukaryota; Metazoa; Chordata; Aves; Trogoniformes; Trogonidae
Rfam family: tRNA
About the family: Transfer RNA (tRNA) molecules are approximately 80 nucleotides in length. Their secondary structure includes four short double-helical elements and three loops (D, anti-codon, and T loops). Further hydrogen bonds mediate the characteristic L-shaped molecular structure. tRNAs have two regions of fundamental functional importance: the anti-codon, which is responsible for specific mRNA codon recognition, and the 3' end, to which the tRNAs corresponding amino acid is attached (by aminoacyl-tRNA synthetases). tRNAs cope with the degeneracy of the genetic code in two manners: having more than one tRNA (with a specific anti-codon) for a particular amino acid; and 'wobble' base-pairing, i.e. permitting non-standard base-pairing at the 3rd anti-codon position.
Source: Rfam by way of RNAcentral
GCUCAGUCGGUUGAGCGUGGUGCUGAUAUCACCAAGGUCGCGGGUUCAAUCCCCAC